Molecule: ribosomal RNA, 605 nt
Filed under: uncultured fungus
Lineage: Eukaryota; Fungi
Description: eukaryotic LSU rRNA
Rfam family: Eukaryotic large subunit ribosomal RNA
Source: RNAcentral
ACCCGCUGAACUUAAGCAUAUCAAUAAGCGGAGGAAAAGAAACCAACAGGGAUUGCCCUAGUAACGGCGAGUGAAGCGGCAACAGCUCAAAUUUGAAAUCUGGCGUCUUUGGCGUCCGAGUUGUAAUUUGCAGAGGGCGCUUUGGCAUUGGCAGCGGUCCAAGUUCCUUGGAACAGGACGUCACAGAGGGUGAGAAUCCCGUACGUGGUCGCUAGCCUUUACCGUGUAAAGCCCCUUCGACGAGUCGAGUUGUUUGGGAAUGCAGCUCUAAAUGGGAGGUAAAUUUCUUCUAAAGCUAAAUACCGGCCAGAGACCGAUAGCGCACAAGUAGAGUGAUCGAAAGAUGAAAAGCACUUUGGAAAGAGAGUCAAACAGCACGUGAAAUUGUUAAAAGGGAAGCGCUUGCAGCCAGACGUGCCCGCAGUUGCUCACCCGGGCUCCUUUGCCCGGGGCAUUCUUCUGCGGGCAGGCCAGCAUCAGUUUGGGCGACCGGAUAAUGGCCUCUGUCACGUAUCUUCCUUCGGGAUGACCUUAUAGGGGAGGCGUAGUGCGGUCAGCCCGGACUGAGGUCCGCGCAUCUGCUAGGAUGCUGGCGUAAUGGCUGU